RNAcentral lists this transfer RNA (72 nucleotides) under Ictidomys tridecemlineatus (thirteen-lined ground squirrel). RNAcentral describes it as "Spermophilus tridecemlineatus (thirteen-lined ground squirrel) tRNA". It matches the Rfam family "tRNA". Rfam says of the family: Transfer RNA (tRNA) molecules are approximately 80 nucleotides in length. Their secondary structure includes four short double-helical elements and three loops (D, anti-codon, and T loops). Further hydrogen bonds mediate the characteristic L-shaped molecular structure. tRNAs have two regions of fundamental functional importance: the anti-codon, which is responsible for specific mRNA codon recognition, and the 3' end, to which the tRNAs corresponding amino acid is attached (by aminoacyl-tRNA synthetases). tRNAs cope with the degeneracy of the genetic code in two manners: having more than one tRNA (with a specific anti-codon) for a particular amino acid; and 'wobble' base-pairing, i.e. permitting non-standard base-pairing at the 3rd anti-codon position. The record is from Rfam by way of RNAcentral. Lineage: Eukaryota; Metazoa; Chordata; Mammalia; Rodentia; Sciuridae.
GGGGCUAUAGCUCAGUGGUAGAGUUCUUGUAUCACAUGUGUGAGGUACUGGGUUCAAUUCUCAGUACCACUA